CCCCCGCGCCACCUGGAGCCAGGCGUGAGCCCUCCCCGCCCACCUGCCCGCCCCGCGGCACCCAGAGCCGCUACAUUCUCCAGAAAUUCUGUCCUUAAGGCUAAAAUCCUGUAGUGAAAGAGAUCAACAUAAUCAUAUAAUUGCAUUAUUAAAACCUUUACCGUCAUGCCUAUUCUUAUGCAUAAAGGUUGCACAUUAUGUACAAUAUUUAGAGUAGUGUAAGGAGGCUGGAAUAAUUGUGGUCGUUGAUAUUGUGUUGCAAAAUGUAAAAAAGGAAAUGUGAUUAUCAUAGUAUAUAUUUAAAAAAAAACUUUAUUGCGUGCACUUUGUUAGUGAGAGCUUUAUGAAUAGGAUCUUUACAGGCAUGUAAAGGAACUGAGGCUGCCUGUGUAUGGAUAAGAGGAGAGAGAACUUGGGUAUGUUCUAGUUUGCUGAGCUGCUAGUGAAGGAAGGAAAGACUUGAACUUGUGCAGUUUAUUUUUUUUUGUCUGUUUAUUUUCCAUUAAUAACAUUUGAAUCCCUUAGCUAGCACCAGCCACAAAAUGUUUAGAAAAAUAAUCUGGAAAGGAGCAUGUCACCCUUCAAAAAAGUGGCAACAUGAAUGGCAAUGCCCAUUACACAUUCAAGAAUCCAUCCACAGAGGACUGCCAUCUGAAGCAUGAGUUAACAGAAAUCAGGGCAAGUUUUUCAGAUUCAGGAGAGAAUACUUUGUCACGUGUUUGUAAAGCAGCCAGGUCUCUACAGUCUCUGGGCAGAUUCUGGCACUGUACUCAUAAGGAGCACUCACGGUGACAGAGAACACAGCACAUUGUAACUACAGGACUUUCACUCGACUGUGAAAGAUCUCUAUCAAGCCUCACAGAGAAUUUGAGGCAGCUGGCAGUUAUCAGCUGAAGCAGGUAGUCAGUAGAAGUGCAAAAGAUAAAUAGAUAAUUGAAAACCAAUCUGGAAACCUGGGAGAGAUAAUAAGCCUCUCUUCUAGAAGGGAGCCAACAACUCAGGUAGGUCACUGAUGAAAUCAACUCCCAGAUCAGGUUGUGUCUAAUACUACUGAAAAUACAGUGGCAGUUCAUGCCUAUCAUGACUGAAGUAGUAGGCAAGUUGUUGGAAAUGUGGUUUGGCGUAUUCAGUUAUACAAAUCAAUAUUGCACUAGAAUGAAGAAGGAUCAUACUGCUGAAAGACAGGUGACCAAAAUCCUAGGAGCACCAUGGCCCUCUGCUAAAUUGCAGUUGCCAAAAUAGAAAAGUAGUUCCACCCCCUUCUUACCCUCCAUGCUGCUUUAUCUGCCAUGCAACCAUUACAUAGAAUUCCUGCCAUACUGACCGUAGUCCUCUGUGGGGCAAGUGAUUACUUUUUCAUGUGAUUUCUAUUUAUAUUAAGAUAAUGGAACUAUUCAUGUUUUCUCUACCAUGAGCACAGAGAAUAGAGGGGAAGGCUCAUGUCUACAAGUAAAAGAAUGUGUAGAUCUUAGUCACUCCAUUUUAAAAGUCUUAAAAACAAUCUUUCUCUUCAAGUCACUCUUAUGAUUCUCAAAUUCCUGUCUGCAGAAAAAUGUGAAAUCUUGCAUGAACAUGUAAGGAAACUGGUACCAUUUGGUAACUCUUCUUGCUGGGUUCUGAGAUCUUGUAGAACUAUAUUGGUGGUAGGGAGAUAGCACAGGGAGAUAUUUUUGUGAGAGCAGGCACAGAGAAGAAGUCUUUGGAAUAUUGCCAAAAAGAAAGUAGCAUUUUUCCACCAGAGAAGUGUUUGAAUUGUUCUGCUGACAUGUCUUUAUUUUGUUAAACAACUCAGGUGGACCACAGGAAAUAGCUGAUGACAAUGUAAUAUUAAUUCUUGUGGAGGUGAACAGAACAACAAAAAAACAAAAAACCAACCAACCAAAGAAAGACUUCUGCUGCUCUUUGCUUUAAAAGAUGCUUUUUAAAAAUUUUUCUACAAGACACAUUUAAAAAUCUGUCUACAAGAAUUAUAAAUAAUUUUGUGCAUUUACACUGGAAGAGCAUAAAGCAAAACACAUGCAUCAAAUAUUUCUAGAGUGUUAGUUGCUACAGUUGCAGUACUAGCUAAGAAAGCAACAUAUUAGAUUAAAAAAAUCCAUUAACAAAAUUUACAUGUGUCCAUGUUGCUGGUUGCAGAAAUAAUAUGAGUCAUUUGAGCAGUCUAUGUAAUUCUUAAAAAGUAAUGGAUGUACAUGUUUUUAUUUUUUAUGUAUUGUUUUAAUAUUUGUUUUACUAUGAUACUGGACAUUAAUUACUUGUGUACUUCUGUAAAUUCUGUUCUAAGUAGUGAUUGUUGAGGAUAUUUUUCAUAUCUCAUUCUGUGACUGCUAAAACAAAAAAAGAUCAAUGGCUUGAAUUCUGCUAAAAUUUAUUGUGGUCUAGGGUGAGGCUUUAGUGGAGAUUAAGAUGUCUUAGACACCUAUAUGGAAGGGCUCAAGUGUCAGCUAUAUGUAUAAACUCUUGUUCUGGACAACAAUCAGUGCAAUCUGUGCACCCUAUCAGCGCCUUGUCAGCUGACAAACUGCUUUGCAUAUGUUUCAGAGUGAGAUGGGUUGUUCUCUAGUCUCCAUCUGAAUACAGAGAAAAAAUAUGGCAUCGUGUGAAAUGUAGUCAGUUUCUGUCUUGCCAUUCUCUACAGGAUGAAAUUCCCAGAAACUGGAAAAAUAUUAUACUUUGAUCAUUAGAUUCCUGACAAAAAUAGUGAAAAGAAUUUUCUUGAGUUUCUCCCAAAGAUAAAUUAGGAGUAUGUAAAAUUGUCAUUUGCUGUGACUCAUGCACAUCAUACAACUCUGUACUCUAAGGUGGUAACACAUAUUUAGCCAAUUAACAGCAAUCUUGGAUAUCUUCAUAUGCUAUUUCUGAAAAUGACUAUCACUGUAAUGAUGUCAGUUCUUGGAUCUCUUGGGCUUAUUCAAUACAUUUAAGAUAUUAACAAGAUUAUUUGAGUUGGUAGCCUGUGAUAAUGGGAGACUGCAUUUGUGGAUGCAGAAGGUUAUUCUCAAUUUGGUGUCCAAGUGUCUUAUUUACCUGUUCCAUGUGAAUAAAAUACUUGCUGUAAACUUAAGUUUUUUGUUU
This is a long non-coding RNA of Manacus vitellinus (golden-collared manakin), 3075 nucleotides long. The record is from Ensembl. Lineage: Eukaryota; Metazoa; Chordata; Aves; Passeriformes; Pipridae.